This 9257-nucleotide long non-coding RNA is filed under the name Salmo salar (Atlantic salmon). RNAcentral describes it as "lncRNA (ENSSSAG00000096656.1)". Lineage: Eukaryota; Metazoa; Chordata; Actinopteri; Salmoniformes; Salmonidae. The record is from RNAcentral.
CUUCUACUCUUCUACAUUUGCACACACUGUACAUACAUUUUCUUAUUGUGUUAUUGACUGUACGUUUGUUUAUAUGUAACUCUGUGUAGUUGUUUUUGUGGCACUGCUUUGCUUUAUCUUGGCCAGGUCGCAGUUGUAAAUGAGAACAUGUUCUCAACUGGUCUACCUGGUUCAAUAAAGGUGAAAUAAAAAAAUUAAAUCGUAGGCUUUUAAGGACUCGAUUCAAUCGUCAAAGUUCAGCACUAUGGAGAGCCUGAAAUUUAAAAGUAAUUUCCGAUUGAGCCGACAUAUGCAGCGUUUAACAUGACUGCAGUCUUUGGUAAUGCAGUAACAUUGCCUUUAAAUGUCAAUCAUUUUCAGCGCUACAAAUUGAAUCAAGCCCGUAGUUGAGCAUUUCAUUUACAGUUCACGAAGUUUAGAGUUUGGGACUGUUUACCUUUUUACCUCUAGUGCCAUUCUGUUUUCAAGGAGAUAGACAAUUCUCCAUUCUCUCUUUACAAAAAAGAACGAGAGAAAAAGAGUUAGAAAGACAAUUUGCAAAAAAGAUUGAUUAAAUAUUAAUAUGUCAGUUGGUGAUAGAUUUUUCAUUUCAAAAUAUUUUGGGAACGUGGUCUAAACUAGAUCAAUAGCUGUGAAAAAUGGUUAAACCAACACUAGAAACUCAUCUGUUAUUUGUUGCAUCAGUUCUUCUGCUUUAAAAGAAAACAACAUGUUGAUUUGUUUGUUAUGAUCAGAGAUUCUGACCUGUUUAUAUCUGGGUUGAAUGUUCUUGUAAUGAAGAACAAUAAACCAGCUGUAUUAGAUAAAUAGUUACUCCACCGUGUCUCCUUAAACAGGUUAAGGAGAUAUGUUUCCUCUCUCCACUCUGGUAUACUUGGAUUUCAGGUGUGCAAGUGGAAUUGCUCAAGGGACCAGAAGCAGAUUGAGAUUCAAUUUUGAUAAGUGUGUGGAACUCAGAUCUGUGGAACUCGGGUCUGUGGAACUCAGGUCUGUGGAACUCAGGUCUGUGGAACUCAGAUCUGUGGAACUCGGGUCUGUGGAACUCAGGUCUGUGGAACUCGGGUCUGUGGAACUCGGGUCUGUGGAACUCGGGUCUGUGGAACUCGGGUCUGUGGAACUCGGGUCUGUGGAACUCAGAUCUGUGGAACUCGGGUCUGUGGAACUCGGGUCUGUGGAACUCAGGUCUGUGGAACUCAGGUCUGUGGAACUCAGGUCUGUGAAACUCAGGUCUGUGGAACUCGGGUCUGUGGAACUCGGGUCUGUGGAACUCGGGUCUGUGGAACUCUGGUCUGUGGAACUCAGGUCUGUGGAACUAAGGUCUGUGAAACUCAGGUCUGUGGAACUCAGAUUUGUGCUUGGUUUUAUUCCAAUUUUAGCACACUCAAGUCAGAAUAAUCAGUGAUAAUAAUACAAUAUCAGUGUGGUUUACACUAGUCCAUUGUGUCACUGUAGAAACCCUUCACUACUUACUGAAUGUAGCUAUAUUUAACUAGGAUAUAGUUAAAAGUGUGUGGAGUGACUAGGAAUGUCCCAAAAGGAAUGUUUAGCUGCAGACAAGGGGAGGAAAGUGUUUUUUGUUCUCCAGGUUUGUCUUACUUCUUUUCUCUGUUGUGUUUUCCUCCCUAGGGCUGUUCUAGAUUGACAGUUCCAACUGCUGUUCCACUUCCUUUUUUCUUCCCUUCUUUUCUGUCCCUUUUUUCUGAAUGUAAGCAUAUGGUUUUAAUAACUAAUGAUAAUUGGAUGCCAAAUAUGAAGGGAAACAUUUCUUCGUUCCAAUGAUAUACAGUGCCUUCGAAAAAUGUAUUCAGACCCCUUGACUUUUUCUACAUUUUGUUACGUUACAGCCUUAUUCUAAAAUUGAUCAAAUCGUUUUUUCCCUCCCAUCAAUCUACACAAAAUACCCCAUAAUGACAAAGCAAAAACAGGUUAAGAAUUGCUAGGCGUUCUGCUAGUGGGACAACUUCCUGUGAAACUGAAGGGCGUGCAAUUCACCAUGCUUCUACACCUGCAUUGCUGUUUGGUGUUUUUGGCUGGGUUUCUGUACAGCACUUUGUGGCAUCAGCUGAUGUAAGAAGGGCUAUAUAAAUAAAUGUGAUUUUAUAUAAAUAAUCAUAAAAAUGAUGGAUAUUAAACAUUUAGGUACAUACAAAUGUCUUAUAUCAGUUGAAAGCUUACAUUCCUGUUAAUCUAACUGCUCUGUCCGAUUUACAGUAGCAUUUACAGAGAAAACAUGCCAUUUGAUUGUUUGAGGACGGCGCCCCACAUCAAAAUAUUUUUCCACCGGCACAGGUUUCAUAAAUUCACAAAUAGUGAUUAAAUAUUCACUUACUUUUCCUCUGAUUUGUCAUCCAAAGGGUCUCAGGUAUAACAUGUAGUGUCGUUUUGUUAGAUAAAAUCCUUCUUUUUACCCCAAAAAGUCAGUUUAGUUGGCACAAUCGAUUUGAGUAAUCCAUUCGUUCAACAUUCAGAGAAAGGAAUCCGAAAAUCUACCCUUAAACUUUGUUUCAACAAGUUAAAAUAUGUUUCUGUUUACUCCUCAGAUAUUUCUUACGGAAAGAAGUAUGUUCAAUAGGAAACCGAUUUUAGCAGGCGUGUCUUGUCUUCAUGGCGCGCCCAAACACUAAUUUCCAAGACUGUGUCCCUGUACUAAAACUGAUAUUUCUUAUUUGUUUUGGAAGCUAAAAACCUGAAACCUUGAACAUAGACUGCUGACACCCUGUGGAAGUCAUAGGAAUUGCAUCCUGGGAGCUAGAAUUCAGUAUGCCCCUAUACUUUCCAUUGUAAGAACACUGUCUCUCAAAACAAAAUAUUCAGGUUGGUUUUUCUUUGGAUUUUCUCCUACCAUAUCUGUUGUGUUUUAUUCUCCUACAUUAUUUUAACAUUUCUACAAACUUCAAGGUGUUUUCUCUCCAAUGGUACCAAUUAUAUGCAUAUCCUGGCUUUAGGGCUUGAGCAACAGGCAGUUUACUUUGGGAACGUCAUUCAGGUGGAAAAUGAGAAAAAAGGGGCCUGCCCUAAGUUUUUAAGAAAUGUUUGCACAGUUAUUCCAAAUAAAAAACUGAAACAUUACAUUUACGUAGGUAUUCAGACCCUUUGCUCAGUACUUUGUUGAAGCACCUUUGGCAGCGAUUAAAGCCUUGAGUCUUGGGUAUAAUGCUAUAAGCUUGUCACAACUGCAUUUGGGGAGUUUCUCCUGUUCUUCUCUGCAGAUCCUCUCAAGCUCUGUCAGGUUGGAUGGGGAGCGUUGCUGCACAGCUAUUUUCAGGUCUCUCCAGAGAUGUUCGAUCGGCUUCAUGUCCAGACUCUGGCUGGGCCACUCAAGUACAUUCAGUGACUUGUCCCGAAGCCACUCCUGCGUUGUCUUGGCUGUGUGACUAGGGUCGUUGUCCUGUUGGAAAUCUGAGGUCCUGAGCGCUCUGGAGCAGGUUUUCAUCAAGGAUCUCUCUGUACUUUGCUCCAUUCAUCUUUGCCUCGAUCCUGGCUAGUCUCCCAGUCCCUGCCGCUGAAAAACAUCCCCACAGCAUGAUGCUGCCACCACCAUGCAUCAUCGUAGGGAUGGUGCCAGUUUUCUUCCAUACAUGACGCUUGACAUUUAGGCCAAAGAGUUCAAUCUUGGUUUCAUCACACCAGAGCAUCUUGUUUCUCAAUGUCUGAGAGUCUUUAGGUGCCUUUUGGCAAACUCCAAGCAGGCUGUUAUGUGCCUUUACUGAGUAGUGGCUUCUGUAUGCCACUCAAUCAUAAAGGCCUGAUUGGUGGAGUGCUGCAGAGAUGGUUGUCCUUCUGGAAGAUUCUCCCAUCUCCACAGAGGAACUAGAGCUCUGUUAGAGUGACCAUCAGGUUCUUGGUCACCUCACUGACCAAGGCCCUUCUCCUCCGAUAGCUCAGUUUGCUCUAGGAAGAGUCUUGGUGGUUCCAAACUGAAUUUAGCACAGGUGGACUCCAAUCAAGUUGUAGAAACUUCUCAAGUUCAAUCAAAGUUCAAAGAUCGAUGGAAACUAAGAUGCACCUGAGCUCAAAAAAAGCAAAAGGUCUGAAUAAGGUAUUUCUGUUAAACUUUUUAAAAUAAAUUUGCAAACAUUUCUAAAAAUCUGUUUUUCGCUUUGUCAUUAUGGGGUAUUGUGUGUAGACUGCUGAGGAAAACAAUGACUUUAAUCAAUUUAAGAAUAAGGCUGUAACGUAUCAAAAUGUGGAAAAAGUCAAGGGGUCUGAAUACUUUCCGAAGGCACUGUAUAGAAUGUCUCUGACUGUCAUAUAGUUGCAAAUUUUUUCACUAUUUCUGUUGUAUGAUAAAUGUGACUUCAGUUUUCCAGUCAAUUUAGCUGUGCAUCUGUACAACAUCUAUUAAUUAAAAACAUGUUGUAUUAAAGGAAUAUUCCAUACAUACAGUAUCUUGGGAUCUUGCACCAUUUUUUGGCAGGUGUUUUUGUAGGGUUUUGGUAAAUGUUUAGGAGGAUCUUGAGUAAGUAAAAUAAGGUUUUGGUAGGUUUUUUUGUAGGGUUUUGCUCUGUUUUUGGUAGGUGUUUACUAGGUUUUGGUCGUUUCUACUAGUGUUUUGGUAGGUGUUUAGUAGGGUUUAUAGUAGGUGUUUAGUAGGGUUUAUAGUAGAUGUUUAGUAGGGUUUAUAGUAGGUGUUUAGUAGGGUUUAUAGUAGGUGUUUAGUAGGGUUUAUAGUAGGUAUUUAGUAGGGUAUAUAAUAUGUGUUUAGUAGGGUUUAUAGUAGGUGUUUAGUAGGGUUUAUAGUUGAUGUUUAGUAGGGUUUAUAGUAGGUGUUUAGUAGGGUUUAUAGUAGGUGUUUAGUAGGGUAUAUAAUAUGUGUUUAGUAGGGUUUUGGUAGGUGUUUAGUCGUGUUUUGGUAGGUGUUUAGUAGGGUUUAUAGUAGGUGUUUAGUAGGGUUUAUAGCAGGUGUUUAGUAGUGUUUAUAGUAGGUGUUUAGUAGGGUUUUGGUAGGUAUUUAGUAGGGUAUAUAAUAGGUGUUUAGUAGAGUUUAUAAUAGAUGUUUAGUACGGUUUGUUGUAGAUCUUUAGUAUGGUUUUGGUAGGUAUUUAGGAGGGUUUAUAGUAGGUGUUUAGUAAGGUUUAUGGUAUGUGUUAAGUAGUGUUUAUAGUAGUUUGUUAAGUAGGGUUUAUAGUAGGUGUUUAGUAGGGUUUAUAGUAGAUGUUUAGUAGGGUUUAUAGUAGGUGUUUAGUAGGGUUUAUAGUAGGUGUUUAGUAGGGUUUAUAGUAGGUAUUUAGUAGGGUAUAUAAUAUGUGUUUAGUAGGGUUUAUAGUAGGUGUUUAGUAGGGUUUAUAGUUGAUGUUUAGUAGGGUUUAUAGUAGGUGUUUAGUAGGGUUUAUAGUAGGUAUUUAGUAGGGUAUAUAAUAUGUGUUUAGUAGGGUUUUGGUAGGUGUUUAGUCGUGUUUUGGUAGGUGUUUAGUAGGGUUUAUAGUAGGUGUUUAGUAGGGUUUAUAGCAGGUGUUUAGUAGUGUUUAUAGUAGGUGUUUAGUAGGGUUUUGGUAGGUAUUUAGUAGGGUAUAUAAUAGGUGUUUAGUAGAGUUUAUAAUAGAUGUUUAGUACGGUUUGUUGUAGAUCUUUAGUAUGGUUUUGGUAGGUAUUUAGGAGGGUUUAUAGUAGGUGUUUAGUAGGGUUUAUAGUAGGUGUUUAGUAGGGUUUAUAGUAGGUGUUUAGUAGGGUUUAUAGUAGGUGUUUAGUAGGGUUUAUAGUAGGUGUUUAGUAGGGUUUAUAGUAGUUUGUUAAGUAGGGUUUAUAGUAGGUGUUGAGUAGGGUUUAUAGUAGUUUGUUAAGUAGGGUUUAUAGUAGGUGUUGAGUAGGGUUUGUAGUAGGUGUUGAGUAGGGUUUGUAGUUGGUGUUGAGUAGGGUUUAUAGUAGGUUUAUGGUAGGGGAUUGGUAGGUGUUUAGUAGGGUUUAUAGUAGGUGUUGAGUAGGGUUUAUAGUAGGUGUUGAGUAGGGUUUGUAGUAGGUGUUGAGUAGGGUUUGUAGUUGGUGUUUAGUAGGGUUUAUAGUAGUUUGUUAAGUAGGGUUUAUAGUAGGUGUUUAGUAGGGUUUAUAGUAGAUGUUUAGUAGGGUUUGUAGUAAGUGUUGAGUUGGGUUUAUAGUAGAUAUUUGGUAGGGAUAAUAGUAGGUGUUUAGUAGGGUUUAUAGUUGGUGUUUAGUAGGGUUUGUAGUAGGUGUUUAGUAGGGUUUGUAGUAGGUGUUUAGUAGGGUUUAUAGUAGGUGUUGAGUAGGGUUUAUAGUAGGUGUUUAGUAGGGUUUAUAGUAGGUGUUUAGUAGGGUUUAUAGUAGGUAUUUAGUAGGGUAUAUAAUAUGUGUUUAGUAGGGUUUAUAGUAGGUGUUUAGUAGGGUUUAUAGUUGAUGUUUAGUAGGGUUUAUAGUAGGUGUUUAGUAGGGUUUAUAGUAGGUAUUUAGUAGGGUAUAUAAUAUGUGUUUAGUAGGGUUUUGGUAGGUGUUUAGUCGUGUUUUGGUAGGUGUUUAGUAGGGUUUAUAGUAGGUGUUUAGUAGGGUUUAUAGCAGGUGUUUAGUAGUGUUUAUAGUAGGUGUUUAGUAGGGUUUUGGUAGGUAUUUAGUAGGGUAUAUAAUAGGUGUUUAGUAGAGUUUAUAAUAGAUGUUUAGUACGGUUUGUUGUAGAUCUUUAGUAUGGUUUUGGUAGGUAUUUAGGAGGGUUUAUAGUAGGUGUUUAGUAAGGUUUAUGGUAUGUGUUAAGUAGUGUUUAUAGUAGUUUGUUAAGUAGGGUUUAUAGUAGGUGUUUAGUAGGGUUUAUAGUAGAUGUUUAGUAGGGUUUGUAGUAAGUGUUGAGUUGGGUUUAUAGUAGAUAUUUGGUAGGGAUAAUAGUAGGUGUUUUGUAAGGUUUAUAGUAGAUGUUUAGUAGGGUUUAUAGUUGGUGUUUAGUAGGGUUUAUAGUUGGUGUUUAGUAGGGUUUAUAGUAGGUGUUUAGUAGGGUUUAUAGUUGGUGUUUAGUAGGGUUUAUAGUAGGUGUUUAGUAGGGUUUAUAGUUGGUGUUUAGUAGGGUUUAUAGUUGGUGUUUAGUAGGGUUUAUAGUAGGUGUUUAGUAGGGUUUAUAGUUGGUGUUUAGUAGGGUUUAUAGUAGGUGUUUAGUCGGGAUUAAAGUUUAGUAAGUUUUAUAGUAGGGGAUUUGUAGGGUUUUGAAAGGUGUUUAGUCAGGUUUAUAGUAGGUGUUUCGUAGUACGUAGUGUCGGUGUUUAGUAGUUUUGUUAGUAGCUGUUUAGUAGAGAUUAUAGUAGGUCUUUAGUAGGGGUUAUAGAUGUUGUUUAGUAAGGAUUAUAGUAGGUGUUUACUAGGGAUUAGAGUUCGUGUUUAGUAAGGAUUAUGCUUGUUGUUUAGUAAGGAUUAUAGUAGGUGUUUACUAGGGAUUAGAGUUAGUGUUUAGUAGGGAUUAUGCUUGUUGUUUUGUUGGGUUUAUAGAAGGUGUUUAGUAGGGUUUAUAUUAGGUGUUACAUAGGGAUUAUAGUUGGUUUUUAGUAGUGUGUAUAGUAGUUGUUUAGUUGAGUUUUUGUAGGUGUUUAGUAGGGUUCAUAUUUGGUGUUUAGUAGGGUUUAUAGUAGAUGUUUAGUUGGGUUUAUUGUAGGUGUUUAGUCGGGUUUAUAGUACAUUUUUAGUAGGGUUUAUAGUAGGUGUUCAGUAAGGUUUUGGUAGGGCUUUAAUAUGGAUUAUGGUAGGUGUUUAGUAAGGUAUAUAGUAGGUGUUUUGUUGGGUUUAUGUAGUUGUUGUAUAGUAGGGUUGAUAGUAGCUGUUUAGUAGAGAUUAAUAUAGGUAUUUAGUAGCAUUUAUAGUGUGUGUUUAGUAGGGAUUAUAGUAUGUGUUUAGUCGGGGUUAUAGUUGGUGUUUAGUAGGGAAUAUGCUAGGUUUUUUGCUUGGUUUAUAGUAGGUGUUUAGUUGGGUUUAUAGUAGGUGUUUAGUAAGGUUUAUAGUAGGUGUUUAGGAGGGUUUAUUAUAGGUGUUUUGUAAGGUUUUAUUGUAGGUCUUAAAAACCUCUCUAGUGUACGUUUUGACGGUAGCGUCCCACCUGGCCAACAUCCAGUGAAAUUGCAGAGCGCGAAAUUCAAACUACAGAAUUGUAAAUAUUUAACAUUCUUGAAAAUCCACAUGCAAUAUGUCAAAUUAAAGCUUGACUUCUUGUUAAUCCAGCCACGGUGUCAGAUUUCAAAAAGGCUGAGGACAGCACCCCAUGAAACAAACACAGACAAUCAUAUUUCAUCCCGCCAGGCGUGACACAAAACUCAGAAAUAACGAUAUAAUUCAUGCCUUACCUUUGAAGAUCUUCUUUUGUUGGCACUCCAAUAUGUCCCAUAAACAUCACAAAUGGUCCUUUUGUUUGAUUAAUUCCGUCGUUAUAUCCAAAAUGUAAAUGUAUUAUUUGCCGCGUUUGAUCCAGAAAAACGCAACAUGACUACAAAAUACCUAAUAAUCUUUGUCCAAACAUUUCAAACAACUUUUCUAAUACAACUUUAGGCAUUUCUUAACUUAAAUAAUCGAAUCAAAUUUAAGACGAGAUAAACUGUGUUCAACACCGGAGGAAAACAAAGUGUAGCGAGCUUUCAGGUCACGUGCCUCUAUCAAACAGUACACUUCACUCUACCCUCGUUCUGAGCAGAGAUUGAGAGUAAGAGAGAGUGAGAGUAAGAGAGAAUGAGAGUAAGAGAGAAUGAGAGUAAGAGAGAGUGAGAGUGAGAGAGUGAGAGAGUAAGAGAGAGUGAGAGAGUAAGAGAGAGUAAGAGAGAGUAAGAGAGAGUAAGAGAGAGAGAGAGAGUAAGAGAGAAUGAGAGUAAGAGAGAGUGAGAGUGAGAGAGUAAGAGAGUGAGAGUGAGAGAGUGAGAGAGAGAGAAAGUAAGAGAGAGAGAGUAAGAGAGAGUAAGAGAGAGAGAGAGUAAGAGAGAAUGAGAGUAAGAGAGAGAGAGAGUAGAGAGAGAGUAAGAGAGAGAGAGAGAGAGAGAGAGAGUAAGAGAGAAUGAGAGUAAGAGAGAGUGAGAGUGAGAGAGAGAGAGUAAGAGAGUUAGUUUGGAGCGAGCAGUCGCACCACGCUUCGCUCCACAGGUAAUAUUACACUUCACUACAUUACAACGGCUUGAUUUGUUUGAUCUGAGCAAUUCUUCUUAGCUAGCUACAUAGCCGUCUUUGUAUCAAAGAUACUUGUGUAGUUUAGAGUAAUUGAGUAAUUAUCGAGGCUAGCUAUCUUCGUCCUCCUAACGUAGUCAACACUGCUAGCUGCUAGCUAGCUAGUCAUCACUGCUAGCUAGCCAACUUCU